GAUGAACGCUGGCGGCGUGCCUAAUACAUGCAAGUCGAGCGAACGGACGAGAAGCUUGCUUUUCUGAUGUUAGCGGCGGACGGGUGAGUAACACGUGGAUAACCUACCUAUAAGACUGGGAUCACUUCGGGAAACCGGAGCUAAUACCGGAUAAUAUUUUGAACCGCAUGGUUCAAAAGUGAAAGACGGUAUUGCUGUCACUUAUCGAUGGAUCCGCGCUGCAUUAGCUAGUUGGUAAGGUAACGGCUUACCAAGGCAACGCUGCAUAGCCGACCUGAGAGGGUGAUCGGCCACACUGGAACUGAGACACGGUCCAGACUCCUAAGGGAGGCAGCAGUAGGGAAUCUUCCGCAAUGGGCGAAAGCCUGACGGAGCAACGCCGCGUGAGUGAUGAAGGUCUUCGGAUCGGAAAACUCUGUUAUUAGGGAAGAACAUAUGUGUAAGUAACUGUGCACAACUUGACGGUACCUAAUCAGAAAGCCACGGCUAACUACGUG
RNAcentral lists this ribosomal RNA (497 nucleotides) under uncultured bacterium. RNAcentral's name for it is "partial 16S ribosomal RNA". It matches the Rfam family "Bacterial small subunit ribosomal RNA", at positions 28 to 507 of the family's 1533-position model. The record is from RNAcentral.